Bos taurus (domestic cattle) is the source of this 1464-nucleotide long non-coding RNA. NCBI's taxonomy places the organism in Eukaryota, Metazoa, Chordata, Mammalia, Artiodactyla, Bovidae. The record is from Ensembl.
CAAAGAAUGCUUGAAUAUUUGGCGGGUCAGUUUCAACUCCGAUCCACUAGGGGGCGCGAAGAGACUGCUAGCGCGGGGUCCAUCCGGGGAUUCGCCGCUCUAGGCCCUAGCUCGUCUCUCAACUGCAGUUCCGCCAGCGCCCGACAGAUGGAGGGUGGGUCCUGUCUCCGAGUCGCCGGGAACCGUCCAGCAUCUUCUCACGUCGUCCAGUUUGACCUGCAGCCGACAUUCCUGGCGCCCCGGAGGAAGCAGCACGGUGCACAGGGGUCCCUGAGAGGUGUCCCCAUCCUGUCAAGAGACAGCUGGCCCAGAGGUGUCCUCCCUUUGUCUGUCCCUUCUGGGCCAUGUGGAAGGCUUUUUAGCAGGACUAGAAGCAGAUACUGGGUUCUCAAGCUCAACUCGGCUGACUGCUCUGAGCCUCUGCCACUGGCCUCCUUUUUCAACGAGUCCACUGCGUGCAGAGGCGUCAUGGAAGCUGUCAUGUCAGGAGCAUUCUAGACCGUGCUGUCCUUGAGAUGUUGGCUUGAAGAAAGGCAAGGUAACAUCGGAGAGCAAACCCUUGUCGUGACCUCCUGCCCUGUUGACCUCCCCAUCAUGCUGGGGGUGCUGCCUUGGAGGACACCUCGGGGAUGGGAACACUGGCCUCUCAGGAUGGUGACCCGGGUUCCAGCUUCCCUGGAGGAGCCUCCUCAUGGUUGUUCUGGGUCUGAUCACAGCCACUUGCGUAGCAGACUGAAGAGGGGUGUUGCUGCAUGACCACCGCCAGACCUUCUUCUCCUGUUGCCUCAGCACAGUAUGGAAGGGCUUGGCCCCAUGUGACCAGGUCAGGGGCCUGGGUAAGGCCUGAGACCUUGGGACCUUGGGAUUCACAGCUGGAGACCUUCAGCUGGCUCUGCCCCUGCCCCCUAGCAGGUGCCACAGGGCACAGCAGACCCAGAAGACUGGUUUCCUUCCAUCUGGACCAGGUCCUCCAGUGGCCUCCAUGUCCCCCUCUCUGCUCCUGGUGUAACUUUUAGAGCCAGGAGUUCCUGUUGGAGGCGUCUCUGCUGGGCAUCUUGUCCUCUCACCCACUUCAAUAAAUCUUGAAACAGCCCUGCCGCUUGUUUCUUUUGUUUCCUUUAAUCCCUGCCUCUGUGUGCACAGCUGGGUGGAGAGACCAUGGGUCACAGGGGCAGGUCUUCCAGUUUUCACUCACUGAGACUUUCUACUUCACACACUCCUGAGGCCUGACCUGAGGAUGGGAUGUAGAAUUGCAAAAUGCCAUGGGUUUAACCCGUCCCAAGUGCUCUGGGGGCUCAGGUUUCGGAGAGAAGGGAGCUGUUAGAAUUGUUGGCAGAGGAACGUUUGCACCAGGGCUUUGGAAGAGAGUAUGAGGGUGGGCUGGACAUAGAGAGAGUCAGGCACUGAAGUCCUCCCGGAGGGCAGGAGAGCCCUGGGGUGGAAGUACAUGUGGUGAAUUUAGGG